UACGGAAGGUCCGGGCGUUAUCCGGAUUUAUUGGGUUUAAAGGGAGCGUAGGCCGCCUCUUAAGCGUGUUGUGAAAACCGGGCGCUCACCGUCCGGCUUGCAGCGCGAACUGGGGGGCUUGAGUGCGUGCGACGCCGGCGGAAUUCGUCGUGUAGCGGUGAAAUGCUUAGAUAUGACGAGGAACUCCGAUUGCGAAGGCAGCUGGCGAGUGCGCAACUGACGCUAAUGCUCGAAGGCGCGGGUAUCGAACAGG
RNAcentral lists this ribosomal RNA (253 nucleotides) under uncultured bacterium. Its description in RNAcentral is "partial 16S ribosomal RNA". It matches the Rfam family "Bacterial small subunit ribosomal RNA", at positions 524 to 776 of the family's 1533-position model. The record is from RNAcentral.